This is a non-coding RNA of Notechis scutatus (mainland tiger snake), 1335 nucleotides long. Lineage: Eukaryota; Metazoa; Chordata; Lepidosauria; Squamata; Elapidae. The record is from RefSeq and is a predicted model, not a curated record.
GUCAAAGUUGGAGGUAUUAAAGGGGCACUUCUUGCUUAUUUGACUAUGUUGCCUUUGUGCCACCCCAGGGUUAUCACACUAUACUUCAAUGUCUUCUGCCCGAUGGUAAAAGUGAAAAAAGACACUGGACAGGGUGUGAGUCAUUCCUAAGUAUUUUCUUUAUUCUGCUGAAACAGCGAAACCUGGUGAUGUCCUUCAAUGGUGUUAGAGGGAACCAAUGGUUUCUUCUGCUGAAUUGAUCAUUCUCUGUAGUGUCUUCCUAUCUGCAGCUGUUAAACCAGCAUACCUUACUGUUAUAGAGUAUGUGAGGAUACUUUUUAUCGUGGGCCAAUAGAAAAAAAUAAUCAGCCGUUGUUCCAUCUGCCGUUUUUCCACAGUACUAUAAGAAAAUGAAGUCUCUGUUGGGCCUUUCUAACCAUCAGGUACGUGUUGUAUUUCCAGGACACAAAAACCCAAGAAUAAUGAAGCACCAAAAGCCAUACGAUGCAAAUUAUUGGUCUCUAUGAGGAAGCUAAUUAAGUGUUUUCAUGUUUGUCCCUAAACAUGGGCUAAGACAUAGGAACCUGAAGUGAUUGGCAGGACUCAAACUUGAAGAAUUUUUGAAAGAUUCAGCUGCUGAAGAAGCCAUCUCCUUCUCCAGGUUGCAAGGCCAGUCCUGCUGGGAAGAAUUACAAUAUUUGACUAAUUCUUCAUUUAUUACACAAAAUACUUCCUCAGGAAGAUGGUGGACUGAAGAUAUGUCUAUGAAUACAGAGCUGAAGAUUACAGCUACAAAAAAGAGCCAAAGAGCAGAUCAGCUUCUUUGACCCUUUGUGGAGAAAGGGAGGAUGUGAGAUCGCCCCUGUUGUUCUCCAUACAUUUGUUUCUUGUGAGAAGACUGCAAGGCAGCAGUUUUCACAGGGUGGAAAACUUGGAUAUGAGGAAAUUUACCAUCUUUCCCCACCCGAAGACAGAGAUUUGAAAGGACACAAAGUUUGUACUUCCUUUGCUAAUGACUUUAGGAAAGUGCCUAUUAACUGCUUUACAGAAGUUUAAAUGAUAUAGUUGGAAACAGCCUGACUGCUUUCAAUCCUUAAUAUAAGAAAAAGAAACCAUAUCUUUAUAAACUAUAAGGAUUGAAAAUAAAGAGCAAGAAGAAAGACAAGGUUUUAGCUACAGAAAGUUUUAAAUGGAUUAAGAGCCCAGAAAAUGUGGAAAUAUUUGAGUUUAAAUAUUAACUUUGAAUAUAUAUUUUUUUAUCAAAUAAAUGCAUUUUGAUGAAUUUUCAACAUUGGAGUUAUAACAAGAUGACCAUUUGUGUAUUCUUCUAAACAAUCUGUUCCCAGAAUAAGAUGU